This is a long non-coding RNA of Daktulosphaira vitifoliae (grape phylloxera), 218 nucleotides long. RefSeq lists it as uncharacterized. The record is from RefSeq and is a predicted model, not a curated record. The transcript has 3 exons. Lineage: Eukaryota; Metazoa; Arthropoda; Insecta; Hemiptera; Phylloxeridae.
UAAAAAGUAAAUAAUAAUUUCAUUUAUAUCCAGUGGAUAUUACUAAAAAUUAUUAUAUUAACUCUUUUGUUAUUUAGUUAUCGAUAGGACUUCACCUUAAAAUGCUACUGACACCAGUGAAGUUACAAGAAUUAUGAACGCGAUUGCAAAUAAUAUUGGUAAGAGGGGAAAAUGGAAUUAACAUACAUAGAAUUUGUUAUUUAAAUCUCAAUAUGACU